CGGGUAUAAUUUUUUUUUCCCUCCAGUCUCUCUCCCAAAUUCCCUCCCCCCACUCUCUCCCACCCGCCGCCCACCACGAAGCAGCAGCGCCGCCGAUGGGUCUUCCAAUCUGAGUCAGGCAUGACAAAAUAAUAUCUGCAAAUAGCGAUGCGUCUAGUGGACGUCCAUUAUGUCACUGUGGAGUUCUUGCCUAUUUAAGGAACUCCUGGACAACUACCAAUUUUAGUAGAAAGCGGUACGACUAUUGUGUAAACUACAAGGCAUGACAAAAUAAUAUCUGCAAAUAGCGAUGCGUCCAUUAUGUCACUGUGGAGUUCUUGCCCACUUAAGGAACUCCUGGACAACUGCCAAUUUUAGUAGAAAGCGGUACAACUAUUGUCUAAACUACAAGGUAAUUUUUUAAAUUUAUUUUUCAUUUUUUCUUUUUUCGUUGGUAAUUUAUGACAACCGGUUGUUAGAUAUGUUUCGUACCAGUUUUCCCUCAUAUAUAAAUGUAAAUGUAAUUAUAUAAUAUAUAUGGACCCAUUGAGCAUUAUUGUCCUAUUUUAUUAGCAAUUCCCUUGUUCAUUUGUGCUUCUGAAUUUUUCAACCAAUUCGUUAUAUACAAAAAUUUGCUCCCUAGUCAGGUAUUCCAUUCAAAAGAUAGCACAGGGAGACAUUUGAGUUUUAUUCCAAUUCUGAUCUUUGAAUGGACUUAGAUGGGCAGGGCGUUUCCCACUAAUCAAAUUGUUUCAGCCUAGAUUUUAGCUACUUUAUGUAUAAGGUCAUAACACAUUUCUUUUAUUGUUGAUUAUUGAUCAAAACAAAACAAUCAAAUUCAGAUUCUUUAUCUAGAGUUGGUAGCAAGCUUUGGUAAAAUGCUAUAGGAUAUUUCAAGUUUUUGCCCAAGCUUAGCCAUCAAGCGGCUACCAGUGCCAGUGCCAGUGCCAGGAUCAACCUGCACAAUCCAAGUUGUAUUAUAGGCCAAACAGCAGAAAACAUUGGGACUUUUAACUUGUACGAUAUGGUAAGAUUUCAAAAG
Corylus avellana is the source of this 1021-nucleotide long non-coding RNA. RefSeq lists it as uncharacterized. The record is from RefSeq and is a predicted model, not a curated record. NCBI's taxonomy places the organism in Eukaryota, Viridiplantae, Streptophyta, Magnoliopsida, Fagales, Betulaceae.